AUAAGUUUUAUCGACUGAAGAAAGUAACUGGGGACAAGCCUAUUUUCCUGAAGACAUUCCUCUGUUGUGAAAAAAUACUUUGGAAAAAUUUGCACCCUUGCUGGCCAGAGUCGGCCAAAGAUCAUAUUUUCACGUAAAGUUUGCACUAAUAUUGAGCUGUACAAUUUUCUGGGACAGGUCUCACUGG
Xenia sp. Carnegie-2017 is the source of this 187-nucleotide long non-coding RNA. RefSeq lists it as uncharacterized. The record is from RefSeq and is a predicted model, not a curated record. The transcript is spliced from 3 exons. Lineage: Eukaryota; Metazoa; Cnidaria; Anthozoa; Malacalcyonacea; Xeniidae.